UCCGAGUUGACCCCGGCAGUCUCCUAUGAGUCCCCGACAUAACUCGCUGGCAACAUAGGACGAGGGUUGCGCUCGUUGCGGGACUUAACCCAACAUCUCACGACACGAGCUGACGACAGCCAUGCACCACCUGUGCAGGACCCUUACGGACCCCCAUCUCUGGGAGAUUUCCCUGCAUGUCAAGCCUUGGUAAGGUUCUUCGCGUUGCAUCGAAUUAAGCCACAUGCUCCGCCGCUUGUGCGGGCCCCCGUCAAUUCCUUUGAGUUUCAGUCUUGCGACCGUACUCCCCAGGCGGAGUGCUUAAUGUGUUGACUUCGGCACAGCAGGGGUCGAUACCCGCUACACCAAGCACUCAUCGUUUACGGCGUGGACUAC
RNAcentral lists this unclassified non-coding RNA (375 nucleotides) under uncultured bacterium. RNAcentral's name for it is "contains 16S-23S intergenic spacer region". The record is from RNAcentral.